This 1352-nucleotide ribosomal RNA is filed under the name metagenome. Its description in RNAcentral is "bacterial LSU rRNA". It matches the Rfam family "Bacterial large subunit ribosomal RNA", at positions 1561 to 2925 of the family's 2925-position model. The record is from RNAcentral.
AGUGGAUUGGAAGCGGCGUAAGCGGUGAGUGUGAAAAAAUAGUGCCAAGAAAAGUCUUGUUGAUGAUGAAGACUAGAUACUCGUACCCGAAACCGACACAGGUAGGCAAGUUGAGAAUACGAAGGGGCGCGAGAUAACUCUCUCUAAGGAACUCGGCAAAAUGACCCCGUAACUUUGGGAGAAGGGGUGCCACCGAGAGGUGGUUGCAGUGAAGAGGCCCAGGCGACUGUUUAGCAAAAACAUAGGUCUCUGCAAAACUCGAAAGAGGAGGUAUAGGGGCUGACGCCUGCCCAGUGCCGGAAGGUUAAGGAAGUUGGUCAGGAGAAAUCUGAAGCUAGCCACCGAAGCCCGGGUGAACGGCGGCCGUAACUAUAACGGUCCUAAGGUAGCGAAAUUCCUUGUCGGGUAAGUUCCGACCCGCACGAAAGGCGUAACGAUCUGGGCGCUGUCUCGGAGAGAGGCUCGGCGAAAUAGGAUUGUCUGUGAAGAUACGGACUACCUGCACUUGGACAGAAAGACCCUAUGAAGCUUUACUGUAGCUUGGAAUUGUGUUCGGGCUUCACUUGCGCAGGAUAGGUGGGAGGCGAAGAAGUUAACCUUAUGGGGUUAAUGGAGCCAACGGUGAGAUACCACUCUGGUGAGGCUAGAAUUCUAACUUAAGCCCGUAAACCGGGAAAAGGAAAGUUUCAGGUGGGCAGUUUGACUGGGGCGGUCGCCUCCAAAAAGGUAACGGAGGCGCGCAAAGGUUCCCUCAGGCUGGAUGGAAAUCAGCCGGAGAGUGUAAAGGCAGAAGGGAGCUUGACUGCGAGACUAACAAGUCGAGCAGGGUGGAAACACGGCCUUAGUGAUCCGACGGCACUGUGUGGAAGGGCCGUCGCUCAACGGAUAAAAGUUACUCUAAGGAUAACAGGCUGAUCUCCCCCAAGAGUUCACAUCGACGGGGAGGUUUGGCACCUCGAUGUCGGCUCAUCGCAACCUGGGGCGGAAGUACGUCCCAAGGGUUGGGCUGUUCGCCCAUUAAAGCGGUACGUGAGCUGGGUUCAGAACGUCGUGAGACAGUUCGGUCCAUAUCCGGUGCAGGCGUAAGAGUAUUGAGAGGAGUCUUCCUUAGUACGAGAGGACCGGGAAGGACGCACCGCUAGUGUACCUGUUAUCGUACCAACGGUAAACGCAGGGUAGCUAAGUGCGGAGAGGAUAACCGCUGAAAGCAUCUAAGUGGGAAGCCCACCUCAAGAUGAGUACUCUCACCAUAUUGGUUAAGGUCACGGGAAGAACACCCGUUGAUAGGCAUCAGGUGGAAGUGCAGUAAUGUAUGAAGCCGAAGUGUACUAACAGACCGAGGGCUUGACCGU